GCCUCUGUAGCUCAGUUGGUAGAGCGGCGCAUUCGUAAUGCGUAGGUCGCAGGUUCAAGUCCUGUCAGAGGCU
Molecule: transfer RNA, 73 nt
Filed under: Runella slithyformis
Lineage: Bacteria; Pseudomonadati; Bacteroidota; Cytophagia; Cytophagales; Spirosomataceae
Also listed under: 3 other names
Description: tRNA-Thr
Rfam family: tRNA
About the family: Transfer RNA (tRNA) molecules are approximately 80 nucleotides in length. Their secondary structure includes four short double-helical elements and three loops (D, anti-codon, and T loops).
Source: RNAcentral